Molecule: long non-coding RNA, 443 nt
Filed under: Chinchilla lanigera (long-tailed chinchilla)
Lineage: Eukaryota; Metazoa; Chordata; Mammalia; Rodentia; Chinchillidae
Description: lncRNA (ENSCLAG00000027018.1)
Source: RNAcentral
GGUUAACCUGCCAAGACAGGCAGAGGAAGUCUGCCGAUAAUGAGCCAAUGGCAAGGACUCAUCACCCCGUGGUGGUUCCUACAUGCUGCCAUCUCAUUGGUCAAAGGUAUCCCCCAGCUUCCUGUCAGGCAUUUUCUGUUAUUCCAGCCCAAAGGAUGGCUAGCACAGAAAUUAGAGGAGCUGUACCGUUUGCUAAGGAUUGGCAUAGCCAAAGCGAAACUAACUUUAAAAUGAGUGGCCGUGUACUUGACCUCUGCCACACAUGGAACAGAGAAGUACACACGAUGGAGGUGGUGCUGCUUACAUACUUGGAUAACACAGCAAAAGGCCUUUGCCAGAUGUGGACACCUCAGCUUGGACUUCAAGCUCCAGAACUUAAUGAAUUCAUACAAUGUGAAUGUGAAUAUUAUGAUAAAAGAAGAAACAGAGAUUCAGCAUUUUGA